Molecule: long non-coding RNA, 1793 nt
Organism: Cryptotermes secundus
Lineage: Eukaryota; Metazoa; Arthropoda; Insecta; Blattodea; Kalotermitidae
Exons: 3
Source: RefSeq, a predicted model, not a curated record
UGAAGAGGCUCAUUAGUCAUUCAUCACGUAGAGAUGGUUAUUGCUGGACAAACACUGGCUUGUUAUGAACUGGCUUUCAUCAACACGUGCACUCAGUGAACAGGCAAAUACAACGACAGUGCCUUGGUGGUCGCCAUCAGCUGAACCUCAGUUGCAGCCUCGGAGCAACCACCAACGGGUCUGUAGAGCAAUAAUUCCAUGCUUUGAAGAGGGUCCAUACUUACUUACACUGAAUGGGAUCCCAAGACACUAAAUUACCUUCAAUGACAACUGAGAAGAAAUUUCUUUGGGACUUACAAAGCAAUCUGAACAACUGUGACUGUCAUAUUUUCACUGAUAGAAAUCCUUAUAUGGAACUGACAUACGAGAUGUAAUUAAAGAAGCUUCCCACAACUCCAGUUCAGACCAAAGUGCCGAGCUGAAGUAUGCAUACUGCAGAGCAUGGUGACACAAAGCUUAUGGAUGAUGGUAACAUUUUAAAUAAAGGCACAUGUUCAUAUCACAAAACACCAAAAUUACAACCAUAUUAUUUAACAAAUACUGUUUCAAAUUUACAGGUCUGAAAGUAAUAAAAUGAGAGAAAAACUACCUGUAGAAUUACAAGAGGUCGUAAGUUAUGGAUGUCUAACUUAUAAACAAACCUGUUAUGCUGUUGAUGGUAUAUAAUCAUUAGAUAAUGAUGUGGAUCAUUACACAAUUUAUAGAAACUUACUAGAUUCUGUUUUAAGCAUACAUUGAGAACCAAAAUCAGCAUACCAGAAAUAUCAUUGAACACAUAUGGCUUUUCUCCCUUAGGGUUGACUACUGAAUGUAUGAUAUACCUUCAAAGAUGUUUUGGACAAACAUUAUCUAAAUUACAAUAUUCUGUGAUAUGACGUCAUGUAGUUUGGUAGAUUAUGUUUUGGACAAGCCUUGACCCUGAGGAUGCAGGCAUAUACCAAACCACAUGAUGUCUCACAUCAGAAGACCAUAAUCUUCCUUUACACCACUGGGAACCUCAAAUCUCACAAAGCCAUUACCUACCUCAAUACUCUAAUAAUCUGAUCGCAUAAAUGCCAGUUCAUAUGUACAAACAAACCAGCUGCCAUUCUUGGUAACUAUACUUGCAGCAGUAGAACACAGUGUCUACACUUCAUGGGAUGUUCUGUGAAAGUCUUUCUCCUCCAUAGGGAAGGCAGUGCUCAAGUUAACAACACUUUGACACUAGCAGCAACAGUAGCAGUAGCAAUAGCAGCAGCAGUAGUAAUCAUAUUAGUAGUGGUGGUAGCAACAGCAGCAAUAAUUGUAACCUGUUUUCAUGCUUUGUGCCAUUACUGAUAUUACAAGAGUAUUGCUUUCAAUUAUUAUUCAUAUAUAAUCUACUAUAUUUCAGCUUGAUUAGGGUUAAAUAAGAUACUGUGAUCUAUUAUGGGAACCUUCACGACAUUUAUAACACUCUGUUUAUAGGAAUCAGGUUCAGAGAUCUGAAAAAAUGCAAUGGAACCCAUCUGUAACUUGGGGACUUCCUGCACUAUGAUGCUACACAAAGCAAACAAGUUUCUUCAAAUCUCAUACAAGCUUAUAAUAUGCCAGACACAUUCAAGUCAAUUUUGUGCAAAACAUAUAACACUACAUUUCUCACUCUCUGCCUCAAAUACAUCUAAUUUGCAUAUGCAAGAGAUAUCAUGUGCACCACAGUCAGUUACAUAAGGUAAGAUGCAUACAUGAGCCAUGUUUUAAUGUGAAAAUACAAAUAAUACUGUGACGUGUUGUGCUAUGCAGGACACCCCUCCUCCCACCAGCGGUGAUGUAAC